Molecule: ribosomal RNA, 376 nt
Filed under: uncultured bacterium
Lineage: Bacteria
Description: bacterial SSU rRNA
Rfam family: Bacterial small subunit ribosomal RNA
Source: RNAcentral
UACGGAGGGUGCGAGCGUUAAUCGGAAUUACUGGGCGUAAAGGGUGCGUAGGUGGUGAAUUAAGUUAUCUGUGAAAUACCUGGGCUUAACCUGGGCAGGUCAGAUAAAACUGAUACACUCGAGUAUGGGAGAGGGUAGUGGAAUUUCCGGUGUAGCGGUGAAAUGCGUAGAGAUCGGAAGGAACACCGGUGGCGAAGGCGGCUACCUGGCCUAAUACUGACACUGAGGGACGAAAGCGUGGGGAGCAAACAGGAUUAGAUACCCUGGUAGUCCACGCUGUAAACGAUGUCAACUAGCUGUUGGUUAUAUGAAGAUAAUUAGUGGCGCAGCAAACGCGAUAAGUUGACCGCCUGGGGAGUACGGUCGCAAGAUUAAA